This 678-nucleotide ribosomal RNA is filed under the name Lactarius cyathuliformis. RNAcentral describes it as "eukaryotic LSU rRNA". The stretch from base 201 to 354 matches the Rfam family "5.8S ribosomal RNA". The record is from RNAcentral. Lineage: Eukaryota; Fungi; Basidiomycota; Agaricomycetes; Russulales; Russulaceae.
AGGGGCAUGUGAGGGCUGUCGCUGACUCAAAGUCGUGCACGCCCGAGUGUGUCCUCUCACAUAAUAAUCCAUCUCACCCUUUGUGCAUCGCCGCGUGAGCACCCUUUGGGAUCAUCUCGGAGGGGGCUCGCGUUUUCACACAAACCCCCCUUUUAAAAGUGUAGAAUGACCUCAUUUAUGCGCUAACACGCAAUCAAUACAACUUUCAACAACGGAUCUCUUGGCUCUCGCAUCGAUGAAGAACGCAGCGAAAUGCGAUACGUAAUGUGAAUUGCAGAAUUCAGUGAAUCAUCGAAUCUUUGAACGCACCUUGCGCCCCUUGGUAUUCCGAGGGGCACACCCGUUUGAGUGUCGUGAAAACCUCAACCUCCUUGGUUUCUUCUGGAGACCAAAGGCAGGCUUGGACUUUGGAGGCCCUUGCUGGAACCUCUCUCUUUUGAAGGCCAGCUCCUCUUAAACGAAUUAGCAGGGUCCUCUUUGCCGAUCCUCGACGUGUGAUAAGAUGUUUCCAUGUCUUGGUUUCUGGCUCUGUCACUUUUGGGACCCGCUUCUAACCGUCUUGACCUUGCAUCGAGACAAUGUUCGAGCAUGUCUCCCUUCUCGGGAAGCUCCCUCGACCCCACGAACCCUUGACCUCAAAUCGGGUGAGACUACCCGCUGAACUUAAGCAUAUCAAUA